Molecule: long non-coding RNA, 1030 nt
Organism: Solanum stenotomum
Lineage: Eukaryota; Viridiplantae; Streptophyta; Magnoliopsida; Solanales; Solanaceae
Exons: 3
Source: RefSeq, a predicted model, not a curated record
UCUUUUAAAAUUCCUUACUGUUCGGUUUGUUUAAGGUUCAUAGGUAUAGGAUUUGAGCUGGAAUGAGUUCAUGUAUCUAGUAUUCACUUCAGUGCUAAUCUCUUCAAAGUUCAUAGUGACAAUUUCUUUUCCGGAUGUGGUUUUUUCUUUUCUUUUUCCUUUCUUGUCGUUCUGUUAGUUUAAAUUACAUGGGUUUAGAAUUUGGGCUGGAAUAGGGACAAUAUGUUGAUGCAUUCUGCCAACCACAAAUUUGAUAGGCCUGGCGAAGCUGAAGCCUCCAUUCAAAAGAGAUGGAGCAACAACUACAGGGAAUUCUAGCCAGGUCAGUGAUGGUGCGGCUGCAGUGCUUCUCAUGAAGAGAAGUAUAGCUAUGCAGAAGGGACUUCCAAUUCUUGGUGUUUUCAGAUACACACUCUGUAUAACUAAGAAAUAUUGUAAGAUGCUAACUUUGGAGAUAUUGACUUCGUCAACUGCACAUUCACUAUCUUCUACCAUCUUUGUAAGUGUAACUCUUUAGGAUAUUUUGAUUAUCGUCGUGUGGCUUCUUUGAUUUGUAUGUCUUUUUAUUAGGUAGUUUUUUUGUUUUUGCUUCUAAAAACUACAUGUUGAAGAUUCAUUUAGGUAGCUUUCAGCUGUGAUGUGUGUUGCAAAGUUAAAAGUUGUAGUCUUUGCUUACCAUCUCCGACUAAGAUUUGUACGAAAACAGGAGUUUGAUAGCAUGACAGGCACCCAGUUUUUUUCUGGUGGCUUUACAGGUAAUCUGCAAUUAGCUAUGUGAUGCCUUGUUUUGCUGACCCUUUUUCUCUAGUUUUCACCAUUUUUAAAUUCUAAUGUUUGUAAGCUGAUGAAUGAUUGUUAAGUAGGAACAUCAAGUAUGGUGACAACUCUCUAGAAAGAAACAGAAUGAUUUACUAUUGUAGCUGCCUGUUUGAGUCCUUUAAUUUCCUCUCCACCUUGAUCUCACACAACUUGUAUUAUCUGUGCUAUAACUUUGGAUUGGAUUUAAAGGGUUGUUAUUAUGUAAAUAGUA